AUUGAACGCUGGCGGCAGGCCUAACACAUGCAAGUCGAGCGAGCGGCGGACGGGUGAGUCAUGUCAGGGAAACUGCCUGAUGGAGGGGGAUAACUCCUGGAAACGGUAGCUAAUACCGCAUACCAUCAGAUGUGCCCAGAUGUGAUUAGCUGGUAGGGGGGGUAACGGAUCACCGAGGCGACGAUCCCUAGCUGGUCUGAGAGGAUGACAAGCCACACUGGAACUGUGACACGGUCCAUACUCCUACGGGAGGCAGCAGUGGGGAAUAUUGCACAAUGGGCGCAAGCCUGAUGCAGCCAUGCCGCGUGUAUGAAGAAGGCCUUCGGGUUGUAAAGUACUUUCAGCGGGGAGGCGUUACCCGCAGAAGAAGCACCGGCUAACUCCGUGCCAGCCGCCGCGGUAAUAC
RNAcentral lists this ribosomal RNA (406 nucleotides) under uncultured bacterium. Its description in RNAcentral is "partial 16S ribosomal RNA". It matches the Rfam family "Bacterial small subunit ribosomal RNA", at positions 30 to 526 of the family's 1533-position model. The record is from RNAcentral.